RNAcentral lists this ribosomal RNA (574 nucleotides) under Bacillus sp. (in: firmicutes). Its description in RNAcentral is "bacterial SSU rRNA". It matches the Rfam family "Bacterial small subunit ribosomal RNA", at positions 390 to 954 of the family's 1533-position model. Lineage: Bacteria; Bacillati; Bacillota; Bacilli; Caryophanales; Bacillaceae. The record is from RNAcentral.
AGCAACGCCGCGUGAGCGAUGAAGGCCUUCGGGUCGUAAAGCUCUGUUGUUAGGGAAGAACAAGUGCUAGUUGAAUAAGCUGGCACCUUGACGGUACCUAACCAGAAAGCCACGGCUAACUACGUGCCAGCAGCCGCGGUAAUACGUAGGUGGCAAGCGUUGUCCGGAAUUAUUGGGCGUAAAGCGCGCGCAGGCGGUUUCUUAAGUCUGAUGUGAAAGCCCCCGGCUCAACCGGGGAGGGUCAUUGGAAACUGGGAAACUUGAGUGCAGAAGAGGAAAGUGGAAUUCCAAGUGUAGCGGUGAAAUGCGUAGAGAUUUGGAGGAACACCAGUGGCGAAGGCGACUUUCUGGUCUGUAACUGACGCUGAGGCGCGAAAGCGUGGGGAGCAAACAGGAUUAGAUACCCUGGUAGUCCACGCUGUAAACGAUGAGUGCUAAGUGUUAGAGGGUUUCCGCCCUUUAGUGCUGAAGUUAACGCAUUAAGCACUCCGCCUGGGGAGUACGGUCGCAAGACUGAAACUCAAAGGAAUUGACGGGGGCCCGCACAAGUGGUGGAGCAUGUGGUUUAAUUCGA